CCCUGGUGGUGGAAUUGGUAGACACAAGGGAUUUAAAAUCCCUCGGCGUUCGCGCUGUGCCGGUUCAAGUCCGGCCCGGGGCA
This 83-nucleotide transfer RNA is filed under the name Aliivibrio wodanis. RNAcentral describes it as "transfer RNA-Leu". It matches the Rfam family "tRNA". From Rfam's summary of the family: Transfer RNA (tRNA) molecules are approximately 80 nucleotides in length. Their secondary structure includes four short double-helical elements and three loops (D, anti-codon, and T loops). The record is from RNAcentral. Lineage: Bacteria; Pseudomonadati; Pseudomonadota; Gammaproteobacteria; Vibrionales; Vibrionaceae.